This 549-nucleotide ribosomal RNA is filed under the name Gemmobacter sp. Its description in RNAcentral is "bacterial SSU rRNA". It matches the Rfam family "Bacterial small subunit ribosomal RNA", at positions 103 to 687 of the family's 1533-position model. The record is from RNAcentral. Lineage: Bacteria; Pseudomonadati; Pseudomonadota; Alphaproteobacteria; Rhodobacterales; Paracoccaceae.
CGGGUGAGUAACGCGUGGGAACGUGCCCCUUUCUUCGGAAUAGCCUCGGGAAACUGGGAGUAAUACCGGAUAAGCCCUACGGGGGAAAGAUUUAUCGGGAAGGGAUCGGCCCGCGUUGGAUUAGGUAGUUGGUGGGGUAAUGGCCUACCAAGCCGACGAUCCAUAGCUGGUUUGAGAGGAUGAUCAGCCACACUGGGACUGAGACACGGCCCAGACUCCUACGGGAGGCAGCAGUGGGGAAUCUUAGACAAUGGGGGAAACCCUGAUCUAGCCAUGCCGCGUGAUCGAUGAAGGCCUUAGGGUUGUAAAGAUCUUUCAGAUGGGAAGAUAAUGACGGUACCAUCAGAAGAAGCCCCGGCUAACUCCGUGCCAGCAGCCGCGGUAAUACGGAGGGGGCUAGCGUUAUUCGGAAUUACUGGGCGUAAAGCGCACGUAGGCGGAUCAGAAAGUCAGAGGUGAAAUCCCGGGGCUCAACCCCGGAACGGCCUUUGAAACUCCUGGUCUUGAGGUCGAGAGAGGUGAGUGGAAUUCCGAGUGUAGAGGUGAAAU